GAACGCUGUCCAUUCGGUGGUAACACUGAUGAAGACGGAGUGGCGAACGGGUGAGUAGCACGUGAGCAACCUGCCCCGAAGACCGGGACAACACCGGGAAACCGGUGCUAAUACCGGAUGCCCCCACCGGGCCGCAUGACCUGGUGAGGAAAUGGAUUCCGCUUCGGGAGGGGCUCGCGGCCUAUCAGCUAGUUGGUGGGGUAAUGGCCUACCAAGGCGUCGACGGGUAGCUGGUCUGAGAGGACGAUCAGCCACACUGGGACUGAGACACGGCCCAGACUCCUACGGGAGGCAGCAGUGGGGAAUCUUGCGCAAUGGGCGAAAGCCUGACGCAGCAACGCCGCGUGAGGGACGAAGGCUUUCUGAGUUGUAAACCUCUUUCAGCAGGAACGAUAGUGACGGUACCUGCAGAAGAAGCACCGGCCAACUACGUGCCAGCAGCCGCGGUGAUACGUAGGGUGCAAGCGUUGUCCGGAUUUAUUGGGCGUAAAGAGCUCGUAGGCGGUUUGAUAAGUCGGAUGUGAAACCCCCAGGCUUAACCUGGGGCCGCCAUUCGAUACUGUCAUGGCUAGAGUCCGGUAGGGGACCAUGGAAUUCCUGGUGUAGCGGUGAAAUGCGCAGAUAUCAGGAGGAACACCAGUGGCGAAGGCGGUGGUCUGGGCCGGAACUGACGCUGAGGAGCGAAAGCGUGGGGA
RNAcentral lists this ribosomal RNA (695 nucleotides) under uncultured bacterium. RNAcentral describes it as "bacterial SSU rRNA". It matches the Rfam family "Bacterial small subunit ribosomal RNA", at positions 64 to 767 of the family's 1533-position model. The record is from RNAcentral.